Molecule: non-coding RNA, 768 nt
Filed under: Glaucopsyche lygdamus xerces
Lineage: Eukaryota; Metazoa; Arthropoda; Insecta; Lepidoptera; Lycaenidae
Source: RNAcentral
AAAAAAUUUUUAUAGUUUUAUUAUUUUAUUUUAAAUUUAUUUUACAUACAAAUUUUAGUAUGAAAUUUUAUUUAUUUUAAUAAUAUAAAAUUAUAAUGUAGUAAUUAGUUUUAAAUAUUUAAGAAAUUAAGAUUUAGUAAUUUAAAAAUAAAUAACUAAUUUUGUGCCAGCAGUUGCGGUUAUACAAAAAUUUAAUUAAAAUUUUUCAGUAUAAUAAUAAAUAAAAGUUAAAUUAAAUUAAAAGUUAAAUUUUUAAGUGAAAUUUUAAUUUAAUAAAAAUUUAUAAAAUUUUAUGAUUUAAUAAAUUUUUAAAAAAACUAGGAUUAGAUACCCUAUUAUUAAAAUUUAAAAUUUUAUACUAAAAUAGUAAAUAAUAAUUUAUUGAAACUUAAAUAAUUUGGCGGUAUUUUAGUUCAUUUAGAGGAAUCUGUCUAAUAAUUGAUAAUCCACGAUUAAAUUUACUUAAUUUAAUAUUUUAUAUAUCGUUGUUAAAAAAAUAUUUUUAAAUAAAAUUAAUAUUUAAAAAUUAUAAUUAAAAAUUAAUUCAGAUCAAGAUGUAGAUUAUAAUUAAGAAUAUGAUGGAUUACAAUAAAUUUAUUUAAAUGGAUUUUUUUUUUUAAUAAAGAAAUGAAGGUGGAUUUAAAUGUAAUUUUAUUUAAUAUAAUAAAAUGAUUAAAAAUUAAAGUAUGUACAUAUUGCCCGUCGCUUUCAUUUUAAAAUUGGAAUAAGUCGUAACAAAGUAGAUGUACUGGAAAGUGUUUCUAGAAU